This 422-nucleotide ribosomal RNA is filed under the name uncultured bacterium. RNAcentral's name for it is "bacterial SSU rRNA". It matches the Rfam family "Bacterial small subunit ribosomal RNA", at positions 355 to 774 of the family's 1533-position model. The record is from RNAcentral.
UAAGGAAUAUUGGUCAAUGGACGCAAGUCUGAACCAGCCAUGCCGCGUGGAGGAUUAAGGCCCUCUGGGUUGUAAACUCCUUUUAUCUGGGAAGAAAUGUACUUUUUCUUGAGUACUUGACGGUACCAGAGGAAUAAGCACCGGCUAACUCCGUGCCAGCAGCCGCGGUAAUACGGAGGGUGCAAGCGUUAUCCGGAUUCACUGGGUUUAAAGGGUGCGUAGGUGGGCAGGUAAGUCAGUGGUGAAAUCUCCGGGCUUAACCCGGAAACUGCCGUUGAUACUAUUUGUCUUGAAUAUUGUGGAGGUAAGCGGAAUAUGUCAUGUAGCGGUGAAAUGCUUAGAUAUGACAUAGAACACCAAUCGCGAAGGCAGCUUACUACACAAUCAUUGACGCUGAGGCACGAAAGCGUGGGGAUCAAACA